AUUGAACGCUGGCGGCAGGCUUAACACAUGCGAGUCGAGCGGAGAUGAGGUGCUUGCACCUUAUCUUAGCGGCGGACGGGUGAGUAAUGCUUAGGAAUCUGCCUAUUAGUGGGGGACAACAUUCCGAAAGGAAUGCUAGUACCGCAUACGUCCUACGGGAGAAAGCAGGGGAUCUUCGGACCUUGCGCUAAUAGAUGAGCCUAAGUCGGAUUAGCUAGUUGGUGGGGUAAAGGCAUACCAAGGCGACGAUCUGUAGCGGGUCUGAGAGGAUGAUCCGCCACACUGGGACUGAGACGCGGCCCAGACUCCUACGGGAGGCAGCAGUGGGGAAUAUUGGACAAUGGGGGGAACCCUGAUCCAGCCAUGCCGCGUGUGUGAAGAAGGCCUUAUGGUUGUAAAGCACUUUAAGCGAGGAGGAGGCUACUGAGACUAAUACUCUUGGAUAGUGGACGUUACUCGCAGAAUAAGCACCGGCUAACUCUGUGCCAGCCGCCGCUGUAA
This 501-nucleotide ribosomal RNA is filed under the name uncultured bacterium. RNAcentral's name for it is "partial 16S ribosomal RNA". It matches the Rfam family "Bacterial small subunit ribosomal RNA", at positions 30 to 523 of the family's 1533-position model. The record is from RNAcentral.